GGGCGGUUAGCUCAACUGGCAGAGCACUCGGUUUACACCCGAGAGGUCAUAGGUUCAAACCCUAUACCGCCCA
This 73-nucleotide transfer RNA is filed under the name Acidobacteriota bacterium. RNAcentral's name for it is "Acidobacteria bacterium (sediment metagenome) tRNA-Val". It matches the Rfam family "tRNA". Rfam says of the family: Transfer RNA (tRNA) molecules are approximately 80 nucleotides in length. The record is from RNAcentral. RNAcentral also lists the same sequence under 1 other name. Lineage: Bacteria; Pseudomonadati; Acidobacteriota.